This 2852-nucleotide ribosomal RNA is filed under the name Escherichia coli 09BKT076207. Its description in RNAcentral is "bacterial LSU rRNA". It matches the Rfam family "Bacterial large subunit ribosomal RNA". The record is from RNAcentral. Lineage: Bacteria; Pseudomonadati; Pseudomonadota; Gammaproteobacteria; Enterobacterales; Enterobacteriaceae.
GGACGUGCUAAUCUGCGAUAAGCGUCGGUAAGGUGAUAUGAACCGUUAUAACCGGCGAUUUCCGAAUGGGGAAACCCAGUGUGUUUCGACACACUAUCAUUAACUGAAUCCAUAGGUUAAUGAGGCGAACCGGGGGAACUGAAACAUCUAAGUACCCCGAGGAAAAGAAAUCAACCGAGAUUCCCCCAGUAGCGGCGAGCGAACGGGGAGGAGCCCAGAGCCUGAAUCAGUGUGUGUGUUAGUGGAAGCGUCUGGAAAGGCGCGCGAUACAGGGUGACAGCCCCGUACACAAAAAUGCACAUGCUGUGAGCUCGAUGAGUAGGGCGGGACACGUGGUAUCCUGUCUGAAUAUGGGGGGACCAUCCUCCAAGGCUAAAUACUCCUGACUGACCGAUAGUGAACCAGUACCGUGAGGGAAAGGCGAAAAGAACCCCGGCGAGGGGAGUGAAAAAGAACCUGAAACCGUGUACGUACAAGCAGUGGGAGCACAGAGCAAUCUGUGUGACUGCGUACCUUUUGUAUAAUGGGUCAGCGACUUAUAUUCUGUAGCAAGGUUAACCGAAUAGGGGAGCCGAAGGGAAACCGAGUCUUAACUGGGCGUUAAGUUGCAGGGUAUAGACCCGAAACCCGGUGAUCUAGCCAUGGGCAGGUUGAAGGUUGGGUAACACUAACUGGAGGACCGAACCGACUAAUGUUGAAAAAUUAGCGGAUGACUUGUGGCUGGGGGUGAAAGGCCAAUCAAACCGGGAGAUAGCUGGUUCUCCCCGAAAGCUAUUUAGGUAGCGCCUCGUGAAUUCAUCUCCGGGGGUAGAGCACUGUUUCGGCAAGGGGGUCAUCCCGACUUACCAACCCGAUGCAAACUGCGAAUACCGGAGAAUGUUAUCACGGGAGACACACGGCGGGUGCUAACGUCCGUCGUGAAGAGGGAAACAACCCAGACCGCCAGCUAAGGUCCCAAAGUCAUGGUUAAGUGGGAAACGAUGUGGGAAGGCCCAGACAGCCAGGAUGUUGGCUUAGAAGCAGCCAUCAUUUAAAGAAAGCGUAAUAGCUCACUGGUCGAGUCGGCCUGCGCGGAAGAUGUAACGGGGCUAAACCAUGCACCGAAGCUGCGGCAGCGACACUGUGUGUUGUUGGGUAGGGGAGCGUUCUGUAAGCCUGUGAAGGUGUGCUGUGAGGCAUGCUGGAGGUAUCAGAAGUGCGAAUGCUGACAUAAGUAACGAUAAAGCGGGUGAAAAGCCCGCUCGCCGGAAGACCAAGGGUUCCUGUCCAACGUUAAUCGGGGCAGGGUGAGUCGACCCCUAAGGCGAGGCCGAAAGGCGUAGUCGAUGGGAAACAGGUUAAUAUUCCUGUACUUGGUGUUACUGCGAAGGGGGGACGGAGAAGGCUAUGUUGGCCGGGCGACGGUUGUCCCGGUUUAAGCGUGUAGGCUGGUUUUCCAGGCAAAUCCGGAAAAUCAAGGCUGAGGCGUGAUGACGAGGCACUACGGUGCUGAAGCAACAAAUGCCCUGCUUCCAGGAAAAGCCUCUAAGCGUCAGGUAACAUCAAAUCGUACCCCAAACCGACACAGGUGGUCAGGUAGAGAAUACCAAGGCGCUUGAGAGAACUCGGGUGAAGGAACUAGGCAAAAUGGUGCCGUAACUUCGGGAGAAGGCACGCUGAUAUGUAGGUGAAGUCCCUCGCGGAUGGAGCUGAAAUCAGUCGAAGAUACCAGCUGGCUGCAACUGUUUAUUAAAAACACAGCACUGUGCAAACACGAAAGUGGACGUAUACGGUGUGACGCCUGCCCGGUGCCGGAAGGUUAAUUGAUGGGGUCAGCGCAAGCGAAGCUCUUGAUCGAAGCCCCGGUAAACGGCGGCCGUAACUAUAACGGUCCUAAGGUAGCGAAAUUCCUUGUCGGGUAAGUUCCGACCUGCACGAAUGGCGUAAUGAUGGCCAGGCUGUCUCCACCCGAGACUCAGUGAAAUUGAACUCGCUGUGAAGAUGCAGUGUACCCGCGGCAAGACGGAAAGACCCCGUGAACCUUUACUAUAGCUUGACACUGAACAUUGAGCCUUGAUGUGUAGGAUAGGUGGGAGGCUUUGAAGUGUGGACGCCAGUCUGCAUGGAGCCGACCUUGAAAUACCACCCUUUAAUGUUUGAUGUUCUAACGUGGACCCGUGAUCCGGGUUGCGGACAGUGUCUGGUGGGUAGUUUGACUGGGGCGGUCUCCUCCUAAAGAGUAACGGAGGAGCACGAAGGAUGGCUAAUCCUGGUCGGACAUCAGGAGGUUAGUGCAAUGGCAUAAGCCAGCUUGACUGCGAGCGUGACGGCGCGAGCAGGUGCGAAAGCAGGUCGUAGUGAUCCGGUGGUUCUGAAUGGAAGGGCCAUCGCUCAACGGAUAAAAGGUACUCCGGGGAUAACAGGCUGAUACCGCCCAAGAGUUCAUAUCGACGGCGGUGUUUGGCACCUCGAUGUCGGCUCAUCACAUCCUGGGGCUGAAGUAGGUCCCAAGGGUAUGGCUGUUCGCCAUUUAAAGUGGUACGCGAGCUGGGUUUAGAACGUCGUGAGACAGUUCGGUCCCUAUCUGCCGUGGGCGCUGGAGAACUGAGGGGGGCUGCUCCUAGUACGAGAGGACCGGAGUGGACGCAUCACUGGUGUUCGGGUUGUCAUGCCAAUGGCACUGCCCGGUAGCUAAAUGCGGAAGAGAUAAGUGCUGAAAGCAUCUAAGCACGAAACUUGCCCCGAGAUGAGUUCUCCCUGACCCUUUAAGGGUCCUGAAGGAACGUUGAAGACGACGACGUUGAUAGGCCGGGUGUGUAAGCGCAGCGAUGCGUUGAGCUAACCGGUACUAAUGAACCGUGAGGCUUAACCUU